CGGCGGACGGGUGAGUAAUGCCUAGGAAUCUGCCUGGUAGUGGGGGACAACGUUUCGAAAGGAACGCUAAUACCGCAUACGUCCUACGGGAGAAAGCAGGGGACCUUCGGGCCUUGCGCUAUCAGAUGAGCCUAGGUCGGAUUAGCUAGUUGGUGAGGUAAUGGCUCACCAAGGCGACGAUCCGUAACUGGUCUGAGAGGAUGAUCAGUCACACUGGAACUGAGACACGGUCCAGACUCCUACGGGGGGCAGCAGCC
RNAcentral lists this ribosomal RNA (257 nucleotides) under uncultured Pseudomonas sp. RNAcentral's name for it is "partial 16S ribosomal RNA". It matches the Rfam family "Bacterial small subunit ribosomal RNA", at positions 96 to 355 of the family's 1533-position model. Lineage: Bacteria; Pseudomonadati; Pseudomonadota; Gammaproteobacteria; Pseudomonadales; Pseudomonadaceae. The record is from RNAcentral.